CCUACGGGGGGCAGCAGUCGAGAAUCAUUCACAAUGGGCGAAAGCCUGAUGGUGCGACGCCGCGUGGAGGACGAAGGCCCUAGGGUCGUAAACUCCUGUCAUCAGGGAGUAAGGCGUUUACCAGGUAAUGGGUAGGCGAUUGAUAGUACCUGAAGAGGAAGGGACGGCUAACUUCGUGCCAGCAGCCGCGGUAAUACGAAGGUCCCGAGCGUUGUUCGGAUUUACUGGGCGUAAAGAGUCUGUAGGCGGUCAGGUAAGUCAGGUGUGAAAUCCCGGAGCUCAACUCCGGAACUGCACCCGAUACUGCCUGACUGGAGUAUUGGAGGGGCAUCUGGAAUUCUCGGUGUAGCAGUGAAAUGCGUAGAUAUCGAGAGGAACACUAGUGGCGAAGGCGAGAUGCUGGACAAUUACUGACGCUGAGAGACGAAGGCCAGGGUAGCGAAAAGGAUUAGAUACCCUUGUAGUCCUGGCAGUAAACGGUGCACGCUUGGUGUGGGAGGAUUCGACCCCUUCCGUGCCGGAGCUAACGCGUUAAGCGUGCCGCCUGGGGAGUACGGUCGCAAGAUUAAAACUCAAAGAAAUUGACGGGGACCCGCACAAGCGGUGGAGCAUGUGGCUUAAUUCGAUGCAACGCGAAGAACCUUACCUGGGCUUGACAUGUCAGUCGUAGAUUUGUGAAAGCUUAUCGUCACUUCGGGUGGACUGUCACAGGUGCUGCAUGGCUGUCGUCAGCUCGUGUCGUGAGAUGUCAGGUUAAGUCCUAUAACGAGCGCAACCCCUAUGAACUGUUGCCAGCGGAUAAUGCCGGGGACUCUGUUCAGACUGCCCAGAUUAACUGGGAGGAAGGAGGGGAUGACGUCAAGUCAGUAUGGCCCUUACGCCCAGGGCUGCACACGUGCUACAAUGUCCAGUACAAUGUGAACCGAUACCGCGAGGUGGAGGAAAUCCUGAAAAACUGGGCUCAGUUCGGAUUGCAGGCUGCAACUCGCCUGCAUGAAGUUGGAAUCGCUAGUAAUGGCUCAUCAGCUACGGAGCCGUGAAUACGUUCCCGGGUCUUGUACACACCGCCCGUC
Molecule: ribosomal RNA, 1073 nt
Filed under: uncultured Verrucomicrobiota bacterium
Lineage: Bacteria; Pseudomonadati; Verrucomicrobiota
Description: bacterial SSU rRNA
Rfam family: Bacterial small subunit ribosomal RNA
Source: RNAcentral